GAUGAACGCUGGCGGCGUGCCUAAUACAUGCAAGUCGAGCGAACAGACGAGGAGCUUGCUCCUCUGACGUUAGCGGCGGACGGGUGAGUAACACGGGGAUAACCUACCUAUAAGACUGGGAUAACUUCGGGAAACCGGAGCUAAUACCGGAUAAUAUAUUGAACCUCAUGGUUCAAUAGUGAAAUACGGUUUUGCUGUCACUUAUAGAUGGAUCCGCGCCGCAUUAGCUAGUUGGUAAGGUAACGGCUCACCAAGGCAACGAUGCGUAGCCGACCUGAGAGAGUGAUCGGCCACCCUGGAACUGAGACACGGUCCAGACUCCUACGGGAGGCAGCAGUAGGGAAUCGUCCGCAAUGGGCGAAAGCCUGACGGAGCAACGGCGCGUGAGUGAUGAAGGUCUUCGGAUCGUAAAACUCUGUUAUUAGGGAAGAACAAAUGUGUAAGUAACUAUGCACGUCUUGACGGUACCUAAUCAGAAAGCCACGGCUAACUACGUG
Molecule: ribosomal RNA, 497 nt
Filed under: uncultured bacterium
Lineage: Bacteria
Description: partial 16S ribosomal RNA
Rfam family: Bacterial small subunit ribosomal RNA
Source: RNAcentral